UCACCAGAGAAAUAAAAAUAUAUACCAAGCGGAUACAUUCGACUCGAUAGUAGAAACGUAUACAGACGGUCUCUGUGACGGACUCUCGUGACGCAUCGCUGUGAAAAAAGUCACAAUUGCAUAAUAACUCGCGCCAAUGAUUCUAUGCAAUCAAGAUGGUGUAAAGAUAAUAAUGGCGCAAUCUUGAAACGAGAAGUCUCCCGAUCGCGAUGAUAAUUACAAUUACUUUUUCUUAUACGCUUUUGCACGGAUAUCAUUUCGAUCCUCGUUAAAAAUCUCAUAAGGAUAUUUUUAACGUUUUCAAAAGCAAUUUUUUAACGGAAAUUUAGAAACUGAGAAAUUAUUUUUAAUAACGGAAGAAAAUCGACUCGAAGGGCGGGAGCAAUUUUAUUGAAGCAGCAUUAUCGAAUCAUUCGCUUUGUUUCAUUUUUUCCUCGAGAAUUUGGCGUUACGAACGAUUCGUUAUUUUACAUUCUCGAAAAAAAUUUCUCACAUUUACCGUACCUGGGAUUAUACAUACAAUAAGCCAAGACGAGGAGUCACCGCCGGAUUUCCCCUAUGCAAAUGAAAAUAAAUGUUAACACGGUAUGUAAUAGUGCAACACAAACGGUGACUCAGCAGAUGCAUUAAAGUCCAAUGUGCAUUGGACGAGGCGGCAUGUUUGCCCGAGUCUUCGUCGAUAAUCGUAAAUAAUUGUUUCGAGAUAGAGUGUUAUUUGCGGCGCAAUUUUGACUUGGCGAAACUGCAAUUGCUCCUAUUACUAGCGCCGAAUUAUUCCAUCUUGAACAAUGGGCAAAAAUAAAACGAGCGAUCAAAUAAUCGAAUAAAUUAAAUUUGGAAAAAGAAAAAGAAGAAAUUAACAACCGAGUCCCGGUGUUAUUUAAGACCACUGAAAUUUUCUAGCGAAAGUUUCGCAAAGAAUAUUCCUCCAAGUUUCUCAACACUCGAAAAUAAGAAGAGCAAUAAUAAUAACAGGUCCAAUGACGAUCGAGCAAUGCGGUAUACACGCGAUCCGCGUGCAAAAGGCGUGUAAAAGUCGCGUGCAUGUAAAAAGCGUGACACACACUCGCGCAAACGCGUACAACGAACGAAAUAGACGUAUCCUCUUCGAUACGGGAGAUUUGAAUAUAAAAGGCUUUGCGCUUCCUCGCGGCGCAUGGUGGAUUAAAUACGGUGCUUGUUUACCAUUUCAAAAUGGAGAUUAAGCCGUUAACAGUGGUCAUUAAAUAGCUUACCAGAAACAAAGAGAGAAGGAUUAUACGUACGGACGAAGUCGAGAAGACCCGAAGCGGGGUGGCCGAAGGUCGAGCAAACAUCGAAAAGACGGAAGAAACCCUUAAGUACCCCAACCAAGGAGCCAAGGAAACGGAUCGAUAUACCACCGCAUUCGCUGCCAAUAUCAAUCCCCUGUCGUUGUUCCAAAAUUCGAUCGAAAAACCUCCUCGAUUCCAGAUUUCAAAUUCAACGAUAUAACGUAAUACGAUAAAGUCGACUUCGGUUUCCGUUUCGUCGAGCAAAAACUUAAGCCGCCAUCAAUUACCAUCCAUCGAUUCGAUACCGCGAAAAGGCGAUCGCUCGGAAACGCCAUGCAGCGAUGGAUAGAAACCUACUGCUACAAUAUCGAGAACCAAUACGAUCAAACGUCCAAACUUUCCUUUACCAAUAACCACGAACAAGUAACAAAAAUUUAAUCUCGAACAAUAAAAACUCGAAGGAAAGGAUGGCGGUCGAAUCUGUCGCUGGAACGGAGGCAGAGAGGGUUGUGAUCGAUGCAGGCGGAAGGGAAAAGCCGAUAGCCGGUUCCCGUGGGCGAAGCCGGGUCCAAAAGGGGUUACGAUGACGCCAGCACGAGCACAGAGGCACGGUAGAUUUCGCGCGUGAGUGUGUUCGAAGAGGAGAGCGAUCGGCAGUCUCGCUCGGCUCGUUGAACAUAAAUCUCGUCUCCCCGGUGGACGAUGACCCGUCGCGCUUAUUUAUCAUCGCUCUUUCCUCUGUUGUUACGGCUUAACUGUUUAUUCGGUGCUCGUUCACCGUCAUACAGUCACCUCGAUGACUGUGCGCCGCACAGCGCGCACACGUAUAACGGGAUCGCCGUGGUCGGCUUACGAUCGAUAGAUAGAUUUACACGCGCGAUAUUGGCUUGGAGACUUCGUGUUCAGAUUAGUCAUUACAGAGCAAAUCGAUAGACAGUCAUCCGAUCCCGUCCAUUGUCCGCAAUCUGCCCGAAUAACUAUUAGGGGGAGGGGCAAGUAUCAUCCCUCUAAGUAUGUUCGUUUCCAGGCAAAACUCUUCUCUCGAUAAUAUUUCUCGCGAAUGGGCACCGCGUUGGAGACUAUUCGAGAGUGAAAGUAUAUUCUUGUAAAAAUUCUACUAUCCGCUUGUAACAAUUAUUUUCGAUAGUCCUCGACAAUUUUGGUUUCAUAUAUAUAUAUAUAUAUAUUUAUAUACAAAAUUGUAUGCAAUGUUGGUUUAUCGAAUGGAAAAUUGGAUCGAUGGAAUGAAAAUAAGAGCGACGAAAGUUCGCUAGAUCAUCCCUGGUGUAUUCGUCAUCCACGCAUCUGCGCCAUAUCGGCCUGUUUACGUCCUAUGCGGAUUGAUAGGGUGCUCGGGGUGAUAGGGCGAAUCGUAAGUCGGCCAUGCGAUGCUGUUCGGUCCGUUGACAAUGGUUAUCGACACGGUGCAACCAGUAAAAUAUAUAUUCUGAUAAAUCCAUUAUAUUCUUUCAAAAUUCUAUCCACUUCUCCGAUCGAGAGAGAAUCCGAGCGGUCCGACGGCACGCGAACGACUGAAUGUUACCUAUUCAAUUUAAAGGUUAUUAUGUUCGUAUAAACAUUCUGUUUUCAAAUCGAUACGUUCGGAGAGAUGUUUUCCUUCGUAUUCGUCCUUAUUCCGCUACGAUUCCAAUAAAUUUUUAUUUUACGCAACAUCAUUAAUUGUAUAUUUAUUAGUUUAUUCGUUAUUAUGUAAUUUAAAUUCUACGCAAUUUCUUAAUAAUCUUAAUAUUACGAUAUCUUUCUCCCUUUUUUGGCAAGGAAAUUUAGGACGAAAUUUAGGUCAUAGGGCGAAUCAUUGUCGAGAAAAUCCGUGGCGAGCCCCCCGUCAGAGGAAAACUACGCCACUCGUCGUUCCCCGAAUUUCAUUCUGAAAAGAGCCCUUUGCCGCGGUUGUAUAACGCCACGGCACACAAUCCAUCCAUUGUCAUCCUUUCCCAAAUAACAAUAGCGAUUACUCGUGUAUUGCAAGUGGGCGUCGAUGACUCUUAUUGAAUUCUUGUAAAAUACUCGCGAGUGUGUGUGUGUGUGUAUCGAUUCAAGCGAAUUCAAGAAAGGCCGAACAAUUAAUCUUUGCAUUGCCGAGAAACGAUUUGUGCAAUGGUAAAAGACUAUGAUUUUAACCACUCUAUUUUGAUUCUCAUUCUAAUGAAUACGGACAUUGACGAUUUCUCGGAGUUUACGAUGAGCUAUCGAUCAACUUGUCGUGUGAAUAACAUUAAAAAGCAUGCCGUUGCAUCAUUUUUCUAUACUUGACAAAUAAUUCCUAUGCGUCUAAUCUCGAUGGUGUAUAAAUUCGAAUAAAUUUUCAAUUUUCUCAACACUUAUCCGAUAAUCAUUUAAGAUGUAAUUAAAUACUAAUGACCUCGGAGAAAUCUUCGUAAUGUUAAACAAAUUUUAUACAUGUAUAUAUGAAAGCUUGACUAUUAGUUAAUUACAACAUUUCUAUCAUUGCAA
This is a long non-coding RNA of Apis cerana (Asiatic honeybee), 3728 nucleotides long. RefSeq lists it as uncharacterized. Lineage: Eukaryota; Metazoa; Arthropoda; Insecta; Hymenoptera; Apidae. The record is from RefSeq and is a predicted model, not a curated record.